GACAGAGGGUGCAAACGUUGUUCGGAUUUACUGGGCGUAAAGCGUGUGUAGGCGGCUUCGCAAGUUGGAUGUGAAAUCCCACGGCUCAACCGUGGACGUGCAUCCAAAACUGCGUCGCUGGAGUCUCGGAGAGGAAGGUGGAAUGCUUGGUGUAGAGGUGAAAUUCGUAGAUAUCAAGCAGAACACCUGCGGCGAAGGCGGCCUUCUGGACGAUGACUGACGCUGAGACACGAAAGCGUGGGGAGCAAACAGGAUUAGAUACCCUGGUAGUCCACGCCGUAAACGAUGAGUGCUAGGUGUCACGGGCUUUGACCCUCGUGGUGCCGUAGCUAACGCAAUAAGCACUCCGCCUGGGGAGUACGGUCGCAAGACUAAA
RNAcentral lists this ribosomal RNA (376 nucleotides) under uncultured bacterium. Its description in RNAcentral is "bacterial SSU rRNA". It matches the Rfam family "Bacterial small subunit ribosomal RNA", at positions 524 to 898 of the family's 1533-position model. The record is from RNAcentral.